Molecule: long non-coding RNA, 1348 nt
Organism: Zerene cesonia (dogface butterfly)
Lineage: Eukaryota; Metazoa; Arthropoda; Insecta; Lepidoptera; Pieridae
Exons: 5
Source: RefSeq, a predicted model, not a curated record
CACACACACAUCCUUACAAACUUUCGCAUUUAUAAUAUUAUAGUAGGAGGUAGGAUAUUCUUUGUUUUUUGCCGCCUCUUCAUGAAAAGAAUGUAUUAACAAAAUAUAUUUCAAACCAACUCUUUUAUAGGCUGGUCAUAUAGCCAGAAACCCUCCGUGACCGUCAAACAGGAGGUUAUCAUCAAACAAGAACCAACAGAAGAUGGUGAAAUAUUGACAGCACCAGAAGAAAAGCCGAUUCCAGACGUUAAGGAAAUUUUCGAAGACAGAAAUGUUGCCAAUUUAUUGAAGAGUGAUAAACCUACCCUCAUACUCUUACAGUUAUCUGAUACGUUACCUGGUCGAGGGGGGAGUGGGGAUGAAGAUCGCAAAAAGCCUAUCAACUUACCCUCUACUAGUGAAGAGACUGAGCAAAAACCGGUGGAUACAAGAUGUCACUUGUCGGAUUUAGAAGAGGGUAGAAUCGGAAAGUUAAGGGUGCACCAGUCGGGAAGAGUUACACUUGCUUUAGGCAAUACCAUCUUUGAGGUAUGUUCGGGCACAAAAGCGUCAUUCUACCAAGAAGUUGUGUCGGUGAAUGUAAACGACGCAAGCCGCUCGGCAAACCUAGUCUCGCUGGGACCACUUCAACACAAACUGAACAUCACACCUCACUGGGAGUCUAUGUUUGAUGAAAUGUCCAUUUAGUUAUAGUGUAUCACAUUGUAUGAAUAAUGUCAGUAUCUUGGAACAUAUUAUGGCCACUAGUUGUCCCCUCCCCUCUCGCGCCGCGCUGGUAGUCCUAUUAUGUUAAAUAAUGUGAAACAUAAUUUGUAUAUCUAUAUAUAUAAAAGAAAGUCGUGUUAGUUACACUAUUUAUAACUCAAGAAUGGCUGAACCGAUUAUGUUGAAAUUUGGUACAGAGAUUGUUUGACACCCCAGUAAGGACAUAGGACAUAGGAUAGUUUUUAUUCCGGAAAUUGAACAGGAACGGGAACUUUGCCGGUAACAACCCGGGUCUAUUGUUCCUGUUUUAUGUGUUGGAUUGUUUGUCCACUAUGGACACCAAAAUUACUCAACUGAUUUAAAUCAAAUUUGCACGCCAUGUUUGAUCAAACUUGAAAGAUAGAUAGUUUAUAUUAUUUCAAUUACGAUAAAUGACUAGCCGGACGAAGCUGGGCUGUGCAGCUAGUAAAAUAUAUUAAGAUAUUUCUAUCAUUCAACAGCAACAUCAACAUAUUCUUCUGGAUUAUAAUCUGGGAAGAUUUUAAAUUUUUAUGUAAAUGUAAAACAUAUUAUAGCGAUUAAUACUUUUAAGUGCAACUGUAUAUAACUAUAAAUAAGUCUAUAACAAUAAGAAUAUAAUUUA